Molecule: ribosomal RNA, 497 nt
Filed under: Mansoniella cinnamomi
Lineage: Eukaryota; Metazoa; Arthropoda; Insecta; Hemiptera; Miridae
Description: partial large subunit ribosomal RNA
Rfam family: Eukaryotic large subunit ribosomal RNA
Source: RNAcentral
GCACUCCCGGGGCGUCUCUUUCUCAUUGCGAGAGGAGGCGCACCCAGAGCGCACACGCUGAUACCCGAAAGAUGGUGAACUAUGCCUGGCCAGGACGAAGCCAGGGGAAACCCUGGUGGAGGUCCGCAGCGAUUCUGACGUGCAAAUCGAUCGUCGGAGCUGGGUUUAGGGGCGAAAGACCAAUCGAACCAUCUAGUAGCUGGUUCCCUCUGAAGUUUCCCUCAGGAUAGCUUGCGCUCAGAGGAACGAGUCUCAUCCGGUAGAGCGAAUGAUUAGAGGCCUUGGGGUCGAAACGACCUCAACCUAUUCUCAAACUCCAAAUAGAUGAGAACCCCGGCUUUCUUGAAUUAUGAAGCCGGGGGCUUGGAUCAGAGUGCCAAGUGGGCCAAUUUUGGUAAGCAGAACUGGCGCUGUGGGAUGAACCAAACGCUGAGUUAAGGCGCCUCAAUCGACGCUCAUCUGAAACCAUGAAAGGUGUUGGUUGCUUAAGACAGUAG